Molecule: ribosomal RNA, 253 nt
Filed under: uncultured bacterium
Lineage: Bacteria
Description: partial 16S ribosomal RNA
Rfam family: Bacterial small subunit ribosomal RNA
Source: RNAcentral
UACGUAGGGGGCAAGCGUUGUCCGGAAUCAUUGGGCGUAAAGAGCGCGUAGGCGGCCCGAUAAGUCCGCUGUGAAAGUCAAGGGCUCAACCCUUGAAUGCCGGUGGAUACUGUCGGGCUAGAGUCCGGAAGAGGCGAGUGGAAUUCCUGGUGUAGCGGUGAAAUGCGCAGAUAUCAGGAGGAACACCGGUGGCGAAGGCGGGUCUCUGGGCCGUAACUGACGCUGAGGAGCGAAAGCGUGGGGAGCGAACAGG